UUUAAUACAUGAUCUCGUGGUUCUCUUAGGAGAUUAAUAGGGAAAACGGUGAAAAUCCGUUACAGCCCCCGCUACUGUGAGCGAGGAUGAAACCGGCAAUUACCACUGGGCAACCGGGAAGGUGCCGGGAGUAAAAUGAAUCGCAAGUCAGGAGACCUGCCACGAGGUUUAUGCAUAG
This 178-nucleotide non-coding RNA is filed under the name Caldanaerobius fijiensis. Lineage: Bacteria; Bacillati; Bacillota; Clostridia; Thermoanaerobacterales; Thermoanaerobacteraceae. RNAcentral also lists the same sequence under 1 other name. The record is from RNAcentral.